RNAcentral lists this transfer RNA (72 nucleotides) under bovine gut metagenome. It matches the Rfam family "tRNA". From Rfam's summary of the family: Transfer RNA (tRNA) molecules are approximately 80 nucleotides in length. Their secondary structure includes four short double-helical elements and three loops (D, anti-codon, and T loops). Further hydrogen bonds mediate the characteristic L-shaped molecular structure. tRNAs have two regions of fundamental functional importance: the anti-codon, which is responsible for specific mRNA codon recognition, and the 3' end, to which the tRNAs corresponding amino acid is attached (by aminoacyl-tRNA synthetases). tRNAs cope with the degeneracy of the genetic code in two manners: having more than one tRNA (with a specific anti-codon) for a particular amino acid; and 'wobble' base-pairing, i.e. permitting non-standard base-pairing at the 3rd anti-codon position. The record is from RNAcentral.
GAGCUAUAGCUCAGUUGGUUAGAGCGCUACGUUGACAUCGUAGAGGCCACUGGUUCGAAUCCAAUUAGCUCC